GACAGAGGAUGCAAACGUUGCUCGGAUUUACUGGGCGUAAAGCGCGCGCAGGCGGUCCUGUAAGUCGGACGUGAAAGCCCGGGGCUCAACCUCGGAAGUGCGUCUGAUACUGCAGGACUGGAGUACUGGAGAGGAGAGCGGAAUUCCCGGUGUAGAGGUGAAAUUCGUAGAUAUCGGGAGGAACACCAGUGGCGAAGGCGGCUCUCUGGACAGAUACUGACGCUGAGGCGCGAAAGCGUGGGAAGCAAACAGGAUUAGAUACCCUGGUAGUCCACGCUGUAAACGAUGGCAACUGGGUGUUUCGGGUAUUGACCCCCGAGGUGCCGAAGUCAACACGUUAAGUUGCCCGCCUGGGAAGUACGGUCGCAAGACUAAA
Molecule: ribosomal RNA, 376 nt
Filed under: uncultured bacterium
Lineage: Bacteria
Description: bacterial SSU rRNA
Rfam family: Bacterial small subunit ribosomal RNA
Source: RNAcentral